GGUUCUAUAGCUCAGUUGGGAGAGCAUUCGACUGAAGUUUCCAGUCUUUUCGCUUACUGCGAGUUCGAAAGGUCCUUGGUUCGACCCCGAGUGGAACCA
Dioszegia hungarica is the source of this 99-nucleotide non-coding RNA. The record is from the annotation of a RefSeq genome assembly. Lineage: Eukaryota; Fungi; Basidiomycota; Tremellomycetes; Tremellales; Bulleribasidiaceae.